Molecule: ribosomal RNA, 468 nt
Filed under: uncultured bacterium
Lineage: Bacteria
Description: partial 16S ribosomal RNA
Rfam family: Bacterial small subunit ribosomal RNA
Source: RNAcentral
GACGAACGCUGGCGGCGUGCUUAACACAUGCAAGUCGAACGGAAAGGCCCUGCUUUUGUGGGGUGCUCGAGUGGCGAACGGGUGAGUAACACGUGAGUAACCUGCCCUUGACUUUGGGAUAACUUCAGGAAACUGGGGCUAAUAUCGGAUAGGAGCUCCUGCUGCAUGGUGGGGGUUGGAAAGUUUCGGCGGUUGGGGAUGGACUCGCGGCUUAUCAGCUUGUUUGUGGGGUAGUGGCUUACCAAGGCUUUGACGGGUAGCCGGCCUGAGAGGGUGACCGGCCACAUUGGGACUGAGAUACGGCCCAGACUCCUACGGGAGGCAGCAGUGGGGAAUAUUGCACAAUGGGCGGAAGCCUGAUGCAGCAACGCCGCGUGCGGGAUGACGGCCUUCGGGUUGUAAACCGCUUUCGCCUGUGACGAAGCGUGAGUGACGGUAAUGUGUAAAGAAGCACCGGCUAACUACGUG